GAGCUUUGGAAAAAUCUGGAAGACAAAGAGGAAAAAUGGAAAAAGAAGGUGGCGGCUGAGGAGAGCAAAAGCAAAGAAAAAAAAAAGAAAGAAAAGGGAGGAGGAAAAGAGGGUUUUUGGAGCAGAGAAAGAAGGGGGAAGAGCUGCGGGCAGGAGGAAGAAAAGAAAAAAGAAAGGUUGAAGAACAAAAAAAGUAGAACCUGGGGGGAGAUCAGAAAAGAAAACAAGAAAGGG
RNAcentral lists this long non-coding RNA (234 nucleotides) under Coffea arabica (coffee). RNAcentral's name for it is "long non-coding RNA (CARA_LNC003262)". Lineage: Eukaryota; Viridiplantae; Streptophyta; Magnoliopsida; Gentianales; Rubiaceae. The record is from RNAcentral.